Molecule: non-coding RNA, 127 nt
Filed under: Schistosoma mansoni
Lineage: Eukaryota; Metazoa; Platyhelminthes; Trematoda; Strigeidida; Schistosomatidae
Source: RNAcentral
CCCGUCUGUUGGCUGGUACCUUGGCGUGGUAGACGGGCUUGUGUGUUGCAGUGAUCCUGAGGGCUAUACCGACCGAGGUUCAACCAUGUCGGGAAGGCUGAAGGUGAGCAACGAGACGAAAUCCAGC